CCUACGGGUGGCAGCAGUGGGGAAUAUUGCACAAUGGGGGAGACCCUGAUGCAGCGACGCCGCGUGAGUGAAGAAGUACUUCGGUAUUUAAAGCUCUAUCAGCAGGGGAGAAAAUGACGGUACCUGAUUAAGAAGCCCCUGCUAACUACGUGCCAGCAGCCGCGGUAAUACCUAGGGGGCAAGCUUUAUCCGGAUUUACUGGGUGUAAAGGGAGCGUAGACGGCAGAACAAGUCUGGAGUGAAAUGCCGGGGCUUAACCCCGGAACUGCUUUGGAAACUGUGCAGCUAGAGUGUAGGAGAGUUAAGUGGAAUGCCUGGUGUAGCGGUGAAAUGCGUAGAUAUCAGGAGGAACACCAGUGGCGAAGGCGGCUUACUGGACUGUAACUGACGUUGAGGCUCGAAAGCGUGGGGAGCAAACAGGAUUAGAUACCCUUGUAGUC
This 440-nucleotide ribosomal RNA is filed under the name uncultured bacterium. Its description in RNAcentral is "partial 16S ribosomal RNA". It matches the Rfam family "Bacterial small subunit ribosomal RNA", at positions 338 to 795 of the family's 1533-position model. The record is from RNAcentral.